CGGUUCCGACGUUGAGGAUGAAAGGCCAGGGGAGCAAACCGGAUUAGAUACCCGGGUAGUCCUGGCUGUAAAGGAUGCGGGCUAGGUGUCGGGUGAGCUUCGAGCUCGCCCGGUUCUGUAGGGAAGCCGUUAAGCCCGCCGCAUGGGGAGUACGGCCGCAAGGCUGAAACUUAAAGGAAUUGGCGGGGGAGCACUACAAGGGGUGGAGCGUGCGGUUUAAUUGGAUUCAACGCCGGGAACCUCACCGGGGGCGACGGCAGGAUGAAGGCCAGGCUGAAGGUCUUGCCGGACACGCCGAGAGGAGGUGCAUGGCCGCCGUCAGCUCGUACCGUGAGGCGUCCACUUAAGUGUGGUAACGAGCGAGACCCGCGCCCCCAGUUGCCAGCCCUUCCCGUUGGGAAGGGGGCACUCUGGGGGGACUGCCGGCGAUAAGCCGGAGGAAGGAGCGGGCGACGGUAGGUCAGUAUGCCCCGAAACCCCCGGGCUACACGCGCGCUACAAUGGGCGGGACAAUGGGAUCCGACCCCGAAAGGGGAAGGGAAUCCCCUAAACCCGCCCCCAGUUCGGAUCGCGGGCUGCAACUCGCCCGCGUGAAGCUGGAAUCCCUAGUACCCGCGUGUCAUCAUCGCGCGGCGAAUACGUCCCUGCUCCUUGCACACACCGCCCGUCACUCCACCCGAGCGGGGUCUGGAUGAGGCUCCGUCCUCUGGGCGGGGUCGAGUCCAGGCUCCGUGAGGGGGGAGAAGUCGUAACAAGGUAACCGU
RNAcentral lists this ribosomal RNA (764 nucleotides) under uncultured archaeon. Its description in RNAcentral is "bacterial SSU rRNA". It matches the Rfam family "Archaeal small subunit ribosomal RNA", at positions 686 to 1450 of the family's 1478-position model. The record is from RNAcentral.